GACGAACGCUGGCGGCGUGCUUAACACAUGCAAGUCGAACGGUAAGGCUCCAGCUUGCUGGGGUACACGAGUGGCGAACGGGUGAGUAACACGUGGGUGACCUGCCCUGCACUUCGGGAUAAGCCUGGAAACUGGGUCUAAUACCGGAUAGGACCGCACCGUGAGGGUGUGGUGGAAAGUUUUUUCGGUGUGGGAUGGGCCCGCGGCCUAUCAGCUUGUUGGUGGGGUAAUGGCCUACCAAGGCGGCGACGGGUAGCCGGCCUGAGAGGGUGGACGGCCACAUUGGGACUGAGACACGGCCCAGACUCCUACGGGAGGCAGCAGUGGGGAAUAUUGCACAAUGGGCGGAAGCCUGAUGCAGCGACGCCGCGUGGGGGAUGACGGCCUUCGGGUUGUAAACUCCUUUCACCAUCGACGAAGGGUUUCUGACGGUAGAUGGAGAAGAAGCACCGGCUAACUACGUGCCAGCAGCCGCGGUAAUACGUAGGGUGCGAGCGUUGUCCGGAAUUACUGGGCGUAAAGAGCUCGUAGGUGGUUUGUCGCGUCGUCUGUGAAAUUCCGGGGCUUAACUCCGGGCGUGCAGGCGAUACGGGCAUAACUUGAGUACUGUAGGGGAGACUGGAAUUCCUGGUGUAGCGGUGAAAUGCGCAGAUAUCAGGAGGAACACUGGUGGCGAAGGCGGGUCUCUGGGCAGUAACUGACGCUGAGGAGCGAAAGCAUGGGGAGCGAACAGGAUUAGAUACCCUGGUAGUCCAUGCCGUAAACGGUGGGCGCUAGGUGUGGGUUUCCUUCCACGGGAUCCGUGCCGUAGCUAACGCAUUAAGCGCCCCGCCUGGGGAGUACGGCCGCAAGGCUAAAGCUCAAAGGAAUUGACGGGGGCCCGCACAAGCGGCGGAGCAUGUGGAUUAAUUCGAUGCAACGCGAAGAACCUUACCUGGGCUUGACAUAUACAGGAUCGCGCCAGAGAUGGUGUUUCCCUUGUGGCUUGUAUACAGGUGGUGCAUGGUUGUCGUCAGCUCGUGUCGUGAGAUGUUGGGUUAAGUCCCGCAACGAGCGCAACCCUUGUCUUAUGUUGCCAGCACGUUGUGGUGGGGACUCGUAAGAAACUGCCGGGGUUAACUCGGAGGAAGGUGGGGAUGACGUCAAAUCAUCAUGCCCCUUAUGUCCAGGGCUUCACACAUGCUACAAUGGUCGGUACAGUGGGUUGCCAGUCCGUGAGGGCGAGCUAAUCCCGCAAAGCCGGUCUCAGUUCGGACCGGGGUCUGCAACUCGACCCCGUGAAGUCGGAGUCGCUAGUAAUCGCAGAUCAGCAACGCUGCGGUGAAUACGAUCCCGGGCCU
This 1340-nucleotide ribosomal RNA is filed under the name uncultured bacterium. RNAcentral's name for it is "partial 16S ribosomal RNA". It matches the Rfam family "Bacterial small subunit ribosomal RNA", at positions 28 to 1381 of the family's 1533-position model. The record is from RNAcentral.